RNAcentral lists this ribosomal RNA (301 nucleotides) under uncultured bacterium. Its description in RNAcentral is "partial 16S ribosomal RNA". It matches the Rfam family "Bacterial small subunit ribosomal RNA", at positions 509 to 809 of the family's 1533-position model. The record is from RNAcentral.
CAGUCGCCGCGGGAAAACGAAGGGUGCAAGCGUUACUCGGAAUUACUGGGCGUAAAGCGUGCGUAGGUGGUGGUUUAAGUCCGUUGUGAAAGCCCUGGGCUCAACCUGGGAAUUGCAGUGGAUACUGGGUCACUAGAGUGUGGUAGAGGUUAGUGGAAUUUCCGGUGUAGCAGUGAAAUGCGUAGAGAUCGGAAGGAACAUCUGUGGCGAAGGCGACUAUCUGGGCCAACACUGACACUGAGGCACGAAAGCGUGGGGAGCAAACAGGAUUAGAUACCCCCGUAGUCCCUGUCUCUUAUAA